GAAAGCGAUGCUAAUACCGGAUAAUAUCUUAAAAACCUCGGUUUUAAAGAUCAAAGGUGGCCUCUACAUGUAAGCUUCUGUUUGGGGAUGAGCCCGCGUACCAUUAGCUUGUUGGUAGGGUAAUGGCCUACCAGGGCUGCGAUGGUUAGCUGGUCUGAGAGGAUGAUCAGCCACACUGGAACUGACACACGGUCCAGACUCCUACGGGAGGCAGCAGUGAGGAAUUUUGCGCAAUGGGGGAAACCCUGACGCAGCAACGCCGCGUGAGUGAUGAAGGCUUUCGGGUCGUAAAGCUCUGUCAAGUGGGAAGAACCCACAUGGUGAUAAUACCACUAUGUGUUGACGGUACCACUGAAGGAAGCACCGGCUAACUCCGUGCCAGCAGCCGCGGUAAUACGGGGGGUGCAAGCGUUAUUCGGAAUUACUGGGCGUAAAGAGCGCGUAGGCGGUCUUUUAAGUCAGGUGUGAAAGCCCGGGGCUUAACCCCGGAAGUGCACUUGAAACUAUUAGACUUGAGUAU
This 520-nucleotide ribosomal RNA is filed under the name uncultured bacterium. RNAcentral's name for it is "bacterial SSU rRNA". It matches the Rfam family "Bacterial small subunit ribosomal RNA", at positions 153 to 649 of the family's 1533-position model. The record is from RNAcentral.